GCUGGAAGCGGCCGGAACGCCACUGCACGUGGCCGGGGUCCUACUGGACGCGGUUAGAAUGCCGCCGGUGGCUUCGCACGGGGCGGUUACCGCCCCCCCCCCAGGCAUGCGGGUGGCCAGCGCGCCACAGAGGACGCCGCCCAGGGCGCUCCCGUCGGCUUUGGCGCCGCCGCACCUCCUCCCGUCGGACUUGAUCCAUGGCUGCUCGCCGGCCAUGCCGC
RNAcentral lists this long non-coding RNA (221 nucleotides) under Hordeum vulgare. RNAcentral's name for it is "long non-coding RNA (HVUL_LNC009990)". The record is from RNAcentral. Lineage: Eukaryota; Viridiplantae; Streptophyta; Magnoliopsida; Poales; Poaceae.